CCAGCCCUGGCCGGUGCUUGGCGGCAAUCUCGUCGGCGGGCUGGCGGGCGUUGCGCUCGCACAGCUGUUCGGCCAGUUGGGCUGGA
RNAcentral lists this transfer RNA (86 nucleotides) under Camelimonas fluminis. Its description in RNAcentral is "tRNA-Arg". Lineage: Bacteria; Pseudomonadati; Pseudomonadota; Alphaproteobacteria; Hyphomicrobiales; Chelatococcaceae. The record is from RNAcentral.